AGGUUCGAAUCAAUGGGAUCAUACUCAAAAAAAAUUUCUGACUGAUCAUGUGCUUGAUCAAUGAUUGAGAAUCAUUCAAGGGUAUAAUCAUAAAUUCAAUUGAUGAUUAACUAUGUGCAAAAGUUACAAUAAAUUAAUUCGCUAACUGUUAGUGAAUUAAUAGAGGAUAAAUUAGUAAUUAGAUUACUGAUUACCUCAAUUUGAUUGAGCAAUGAGGUUUGAAUCAAGUUUAAUUGAAUUGGAU
RNAcentral lists this long non-coding RNA (244 nucleotides) under Elaeis guineensis (African oil palm). RNAcentral describes it as "long non-coding RNA (EGUI_LNC046054)". Lineage: Eukaryota; Viridiplantae; Streptophyta; Magnoliopsida; Arecales; Arecaceae. The record is from RNAcentral.